Molecule: long non-coding RNA, 212 nt
Filed under: Ananas comosus (pineapple)
Lineage: Eukaryota; Viridiplantae; Streptophyta; Magnoliopsida; Poales; Bromeliaceae
Description: long non-coding RNA (ACOM_LNC035693)
Source: RNAcentral
UAUUACAACAUUGGUACAAUCACAGUUUUACAUGCAUUUUCUCACUUUACAUACAUGAAUCUCUUUCCAAGACACAAUUACAACUUUCGCUCUUUAAUACAUUUUCUUUCCAAAUUACAUUUACAUUCUUGCUUAUACAUAGGGCGAUCUAAACUGGGUGACCCUGCUAUCUAGGAUGCAAUGCCCACGCCUCGAUCAGGUGCCGCUCCGCG